Molecule: ribosomal RNA, 460 nt
Filed under: uncultured bacterium
Lineage: Bacteria
Description: partial 16S ribosomal RNA
Rfam family: Bacterial small subunit ribosomal RNA
Source: RNAcentral
CCUACGGGAGGCAGCAGUGAGGAAUAUUGGUCAAUGGGCGCGAGCCUGAACCAGCCAAGUAGCGUGAAUGAUGACUGCCCUACGGGUUGUAAACUUCUUUUAUAAAGGAAUAAAGUGAGGCACGUGUGCCUUUUUGUAUGUACUUUAUGAAUAAGGAUCGGCGAACCCCGUGCCAUCAGCCGCGGUAAUACGGAGGAUCCGAGCGUUAUCCGGAUUUAUUGGGUUUAAGGGGAGCGUAGAUGGGUUGUUAAGUCAGUUGUGAAAGUUUGCGGCUCAACCGUAAAAUUGCAAUUGAUACUGGGAGUCUUGAGUACAGUAGAGGUAGGCAGAAUUCGUGGUGUAGCGGUGAAAUGCUUAGAUAUGACGAAGAACUCCGAUUGCGAAGGCAGCUUACUAAACUGACACUGACAUUGAUGCUCGAAAGUGUGGGUAUCAAACAGGAUUAGAUACCCCAGUAGUC